RNA transcript from Arachis ipaensis, 2802 nucleotides. It is a transcript of the gene named serine/threonine-protein phosphatase 7, with no coding region annotated. NCBI's taxonomy places the organism in Eukaryota, Viridiplantae, Streptophyta, Magnoliopsida, Fabales, Fabaceae. The record is from RefSeq and is a predicted model, not a curated record.
GAUGAGGAUGGGGAUCAUGUCAGUCAUGAUUCACGGAGAUUCUUCUAAACCGGUGAAGUAAGAAUCAGCAGCAAAGCAAGUAAACCCUAAUUUCCUUUUGUGAUCAUGCAUCUCAGAAAAUAGAACAAAUUAAAUUGCGACUCGAAGUUUCUCAGCUCAUUUCUACUUGAGUUCCAAACAGGGUGAUGGAUCCUCACAAAGAGAGAAUUAAGACUGGAUGCCACAAAAUCCUGGACGGAAUAAACUCAAUGUCUUUGGUGAAUUUAGAUGACCAGCAAGUCCAUUCCUUGGUAAUGAUGAGAGAAAUUGCACGCGGUGUUGUUGAUGAUCAAAAUAGGAAGGUGACUAGGAAUGAUGUGAUUCGUGCCUUGCGCCGCAGCAUCUUGAAAAUGGUGUGUGCAUCGAGGGAUAUCAUUCGAUUAUUGAGUAGGAUGUCUUACGAAGGCUUGGAUGACCAACAGAUGAAUUUAGUGUUGAGAAUGAAAGAAAUUGCUCAUCGGAUUAUUGAUAAACAGCCUAGAGUUGCAAUAACCAGGCCUAAUUUACUUGUAGAACAAGUUGCACUUUUGGAUGAAGGGAUGAGAGAUAGUCCUGUUGUUGAGUCGAGUAAGAUCGGGGAUGCUCUGAUUGAUGGGGAUCAAAGCAUGAGUAAUGAUGAUGAUAUGUUAGAUGUGGAACAUGUUUUAAGAUUUGAAAAUGGGAUGAAUGUUGCACAGGAGUCUCUAUCGCCAUCAUGCUUCCAGCAAUUUCUUCUGUGGCCUCCUGACGAUUGCAUCACUUUAGAAUGGGUUCAAGAUAUGAUGUCCACAUUUGAGCACGUUUCACAGAAGGUGUUGCCAUCUGCAUUUUGUAAUAUUGUGCCAACCAUUUUGGUGGAUAAGUUGACAGAUGCUGCUUCCAGUAUUUUAUGUGAGGAACCAAAUUGUGUGGAGGUUGACUGUGAAGGAGAAGAUUCAAGGGUCAUCGUAGUAGGCGAUAUACAUGGGCAGUUUCAUGAUUUAUUGUCUCUUUUCAAGCAUGCAGGAGUGCCCUCGGAGAGCCAAUUUUAUGUUUUCAAUGGGAAUUAUGUAGGUAAAGGAGCUUGGGGCAUUGAAGUACUUUUGGUCUUGCUAGCUUGGAAGGUGUUGAUGCCUCACAGAAUAUAUCUGCUCUGUGGAAAUCAUGAAUCAAGAUAUUACACUGGAAGGUAUGGUUUUGAGAACGAAGUAUGGACCAAAUAUGGUAAACAAGGAGAAUAUGUAUACAACAAAUUUUUGGAGUGCUUCAAGGUGCUUCCGUUAGCUUCAGUUAUAGCAAACUGUGUUUAUACUACUCAUGGAGGGUUUUUCCGUAGCAAACAUUCUGCUCCUUCACGAAAGCCAAAACAUAGGAAGACACAAAGGGUGGAUCUUGGUUCUUUGGCUGAGUUAUCUGAAGUUAAAAGAGCUCGUAUUGGUUCCCCUUAUGAAGGUCCUAAUAUAUUAUUGACUGACAUCCUCUGGUCAAAACCAUCUAAAAGGAAUGGUCUAAGGGAGAAUGCAGGUCGAAAGUAUGGUUUAUGGUGGGGUCCUGAUUGCACUGAGGCUUUCUUAAAACGACACAAUUUAAAGCUGAUCAUCAGAUCACAUGAAGGGCCUGAUGCAAGGGCUGGUCAGGAUGAUUUUGGGAACAUGAUGAUUGGAUAUAGCUUGGAUCACGAUGUAGAAUCAGGAAAGCUAUAUACACUUUUUAGUGCUCCAGACUACCCACAGUUUGGUCAAAAGAGAUAUAAUAAUGAAGGAGCAUAUGCAAUAUUGCAGUCUCCAGAUUUUGCAAGUCCUUCCUUUUUCUCAUUCAAAGCUGCAGAAAGACCAACGGUGGAUCCUUAUGUUGAUUCUGAUGCUGAUGAGAUGGACUUGCGUGCGCCAAGUUCUUCCCAAAUAACAAAAUGCCCAGAACAUGAUUUUCCUCUUUGCCAUCAUGCUAUAUUGGCUACUAAAUAUUGGAAACGCAGGCCUCAACCUCUGCCUUCUGUGCUUCUCAAAGACCAUAUCCAGGUGGCUCGAGACCCAUUUUUGAUUUUAGUUUGUUGGGCAUACACAAUGGACCAUCUUGGAGCGUUGAGCUUGGAGAUGGUUUAGGUGGCACUCAAGUUAUGCAGGUUCCGAGGGCCCCCGUGGUGGAAGGCUUGCCGCUUCCUCCCAAUAUACAGGAGCCGCACCGGUCUGCGUACAAGUAUUUGUUCGAGCUGGUUGGUGCAUUGAAACAUGUGGUUGUAACAAGGGAGACUGAGAACAGAGCCCGUGUGUCAGCAUUGAGAAGCAGAGCCAAGAAACGAAAGGGAAGGAAGAGUAAUAGUUGAUAGGUGAGUUUUAGAAAGCGCCCCUCCAGAAGAGGCGUCCCACGUGCGGUUUGCCUUUUGGUUUCGUGGUUGCAGUUGGACACGUGGUGAUGCGUGACAGGCCCGCGUAACAAGGAGAAAGAUGAAACCUGUAAUAGGGAAGUUUUCAUUUUUCGUUAGUUAUAUUUUCGGCUCUUCUGUUUUGUGGGUCAGGCAUUCAAUUUUGAGUUUAAUUUUGAUGCACUCACAGGGUCACAGUCGUGCAUUACAUCUGUUUUUUUUUUGGAUGAAGAUUUACACAAUCAAUAUAAAAGAUAAAUAUUUUUAUUGAUGUGGUGUUGGUCUGUCAAAAUUAAAGUCUUAAUUUUUUGCCAUGAAAGACGGGCUGUUCAGCUGGGGCUUGCGAUUUUUUUUUGGCUUAAACCUCUUGAGAGAUAUUAGCAAUGGGUCUAAUAUGAGAAAUAUUAAAUUUUUUUUAGCUGGCAUGUAAUUAGUUUCUUGAA